GCUGUCGUCAGCUCGUGUUGUGAAAUGUUGGGUUAAGUCCCGCAACGAGCGCAACCCUUAUCCUUUGUUGCCAGCGGUCCGGCCGGGAACUCAAAGGAGACUGCCAGUGAUAAACUGGAGGAAGGUGGGGAUGACGUCAAGUCAUCAUGGCCCUUACGACCAGGGCUACACACGUGCUACAAUGGCGCAUACAAAGAGAAGCGACCUCGCGAGAGCAAGCGGACCUCAUAAAGUGCGUCGUAGUCCGGAUUGGAGUCUGCAACUCGACUCCAUGAAGUCGGAAUCGCUAGUAAUCGUGGAUCAGAAUGCCACGGUGAAUACGUUCCCGGGCCUUGUACACACCGCCCGUCACACCAUGGGAGUGGGUUGCAAAAGAAGUAGGUAGCUUAACCUUCGGGAGGGCGCUUACCACUUUGUGAUUCAUGACAGGGGUGAAGUCGUAACAAGGUAACCGUAGGGGAACCUGCGGCUGGAUCACCUC
Molecule: ribosomal RNA, 481 nt
Filed under: uncultured bacterium
Lineage: Bacteria
Description: bacterial SSU rRNA
Rfam family: Bacterial small subunit ribosomal RNA
Source: RNAcentral